AUUGAACGCUGGCGGCAUGCCUUACACAUGCAAGUCGAACGGCAGCACGGGUGCUUGCACCUGGUGGCGAGUGGCGAACGGGUGAGUAAUACAUCGGAACGUACCUUAUCGUGGGGGAUAACGCAGCGAAAGCUGUGCUAAUACCGCAUACGCCCUGAGGGGGAAAGCGGGGGAUCGAAAGACCUCGCGCGAUUAGAGCGGCCGAUGCCUGAUUAGCGUGUUGGUGGGGUAAAAGCCCACCAAGGCGACGAUCAGUAGCUGGUCUGAGAGGACGAUCAGCACGCGGGGGCUGAGACACGGCCCAGACUCCUACGGGAGGCAGCAGUGGGGAAUUUUGGACAAUGGGGGCAACCCUGAUCCAGCAAUGCCGCGUGGGUGAAGAAGGCCUUCGGGUUGUAAAGCUCUUUUGUCAGGGAAGAAACACCGGCUCUAACACAGUCCGGGAAUGACGGUACCUGAAGAAUAAGCACCGGCUAACUACGUGCCAGCCGCCGCCGUAA
RNAcentral lists this ribosomal RNA (500 nucleotides) under uncultured bacterium. RNAcentral describes it as "partial 16S ribosomal RNA". It matches the Rfam family "Bacterial small subunit ribosomal RNA", at positions 29 to 523 of the family's 1533-position model. The record is from RNAcentral.